AUGCUAACAGAGGAGGAGAAGACCAUGCAAGUCCUUGGGGUUGGGUGCGGCAACUCGCUGCUCGAAGACAAUCUUUUGGUGGUGGGGCGUCGCUGCCGCCGGCGGCACCUGCAUAGACCGUCUCGCUGGGAACGAAGAGAUGCUCCCCUGAUUUGGAGCUGUAGAAAGGAGGUGGUUGCAGACACAAAGUGGGGACACACAACUCCCAGUCAUAAUAUUCUUUAUCUUGGCUCGUUGUUUGGGGAUGGACGCAUCAAUCUGAUCGCGCUCUCCUCCAUGCCAAACGGAUCCUUGGUUCGGAGGUGCGCGGCGCCGACGAUGACAACCUUUCUAUCGACGCAAGGGCAGCAGGAGCUCAUGACGCUGUUGAUGCCACCACCAUGCACAGGGUUGAUGCAAGGUGGGACAAGUAUGUAUACCAGUGCGAUCACUAAUGGGGAGAACAUAAACUUCAAUUGA
This 459-nucleotide ribosomal RNA is filed under the name Triticum aestivum (bread wheat). RNAcentral describes it as "partial small subunit ribosomal RNA". The record is from RNAcentral. Lineage: Eukaryota; Viridiplantae; Streptophyta; Magnoliopsida; Poales; Poaceae.